RNAcentral lists this ribosomal RNA (497 nucleotides) under uncultured bacterium. Its description in RNAcentral is "partial 16S ribosomal RNA". It matches the Rfam family "Bacterial small subunit ribosomal RNA", at positions 28 to 507 of the family's 1533-position model. The record is from RNAcentral.
GAUGAACGCUGGCGGCGUGCCUAAUACAUGCAAGUCGAGCGAACGGACGAGAAGCUUGCUUCUCUGAUGUUAGCGGCGGACGGGUGAGUAACACGUGGAUAACCUACCUAUAAGACUGGGAUAACUUCGGGAAACCUUAGCUAAUACCGGAUAAUAUUUUGAACCGCAUGGUUCAAAAGUGAAAGACGGUCUUGCUGUCACUUAUAGAUGGAUCCGCGCUGCAUUAGCUAGUUGGUAAGGUAACGGCUUACCAAGGCAACGAUGCAUAGCCGACCUGAGAGGAUGAUCGGCCACACUGGAACUGAGACACGGUCCAGACUCCUACGGGAGGCAGCAGUAGGGAAUCUUCCGCAAUGGGCGAAAGCCUGACGGAGCAACGCCGCGUGAGUGAUGAAGGUCUUCGGAUCGUAAAACUCUGUUAUUAGGGAAGAACAUAUGUGUAAGUAACUGUGCACAUCUUGACGGUACCUAAUCAGAAAGCCACGGCUAACUACGUG